Non-coding RNA from Notechis scutatus (mainland tiger snake), 914 nucleotides. Lineage: Eukaryota; Metazoa; Chordata; Lepidosauria; Squamata; Elapidae. The record is from RefSeq and is a predicted model, not a curated record.
ACACCUACAUGAAACUUCUGGAUAUUUGCAUGAGGUAAGAUAUCAGCAGUAUGCUAUCUAGUAUGAUAUCUAGUUACAUUCGGGUCCUCCUUGGUUAUCAACUCAUUCAGCAACAUUCAAAGUUAUAACGGCACUGAACAAGUGUACUUUGGUGAAAUCAGUGGCCAGGAAGCAGGUUCUGGCUAACUAAAUUCUCUUUGUAGAAGGGAAGAUUGGUGGAUUGCCCACUUGCACCAUGGAUAAUUGGUUUUCAUGAGGAGACUAUAGGAAUGGAAUCUCUUGUAGUUAAGUGUGAGUUGGGUAGCUUGGAAGCUGAGAGAUCAACAUAGUGCUCAAAACCGUUUUGUAACUUUUGUGAACAAAUAAGCUGCAAAAGCUUCACUUUCUUAAACUUUUUUGAAUACAACUAAUUCACAGCUUAAGAGGGAUGUUCUGAAAGACAGAACAAAAGCACUUGAUCACCUUCUGUUGUAAUUAAAAAAUUUAAAAAAAAUCUAAAAGGAUUUUGACUUGAAAGCAAAAACUUAGCGAAAUCGUGAUUUAAGAAAGGUUUAAAUGGAUAAAGGGAAUGGUAAUUUUAGAAAACAGAAGAAUAAUUUUGUUUUGUUGAUAAAAGUGCUUUUGAAUAUAGUAAAAAAUUAACAAGAAAAUAGGUGGAACCUCCAUAAGAAUGUUGAUUGCUUAUUACCUUUACUUAUUAUUGCUUAGAGAAAGUAGACAAUUGGUGGAUUUUACAAAAUAAAAACAACAGUAAUAUAAACCAGACUGUGUGACUAUAACUAUGGAGAGCUAAUUGGGACUAAAGAGUUAAAGAGAGGAAAAAAAGAGCAAGAAAGAGAAGAGUUAAAAGAAAGAGAAGACCAAAAGAGGGGGGGAAAGAGAUGAAGCAUGCCUUUUACUUUAAUCCUAGAAAG